AGAGGAAUAGCUGGGUCAAAUGGUGGUUCCAUUCCCAUAUUUCCAAGGAAUCUCCAUACUGCUUUCCAAAUUGGCUGCAUCAAUUUGCAGUCCACCAGCAAU
Molecule: microRNA precursor, 102 nt
Filed under: Marmota monax (woodchuck)
Lineage: Eukaryota; Metazoa; Chordata; Mammalia; Rodentia; Sciuridae
Source: RNAcentral